RNAcentral lists this signal recognition particle RNA (100 nucleotides) under Nitrospirota bacterium. RNAcentral's name for it is "Nitrospirae bacterium (groundwater metagenome) signal recognition particle sRNA small type". It matches the Rfam family "Bacterial small signal recognition particle RNA". From Rfam's summary of the family: The signal recognition particle (SRP) is a universally conserved ribonucleoprotein involved in the co-translational targeting of proteins to membranes. Archaeal SRP consists of a 7S RNA and homologues of the eukaryotic SRP19 and SRP54 proteins. In most bacteria, the SRP consists of a 4.5S RNA and the Ffh protein (a homologue of the eukaryotic SRP54 protein). The record is from RNAcentral. RNAcentral also lists the same sequence under 1 other name. Lineage: Bacteria; Pseudomonadati; Nitrospirota.
GGCUGGACCCUGUGCGGUAGAAACUUAUCAACCCCGCCAGGUUCGGAAGAAAGCAACGGUCCGUAAGCCCUUCUAGGCGCCGCAGGAUCAUCUGGCCUCU